UACGGGGGGGGCAAGCGUUGUUCGGAAUUACUGGGCGUAAAGGGCUCGUAGGUGGCCAACUAAGUCAGACGUGAAAUCCCUCGGCUUAACCGGGGAACUGCGUCUGAUACUGGAUGGCUUGAGUUUUGGGAGAGGGACGCGGAAUUCCAGGUGUAGCGGUUGAAAUGCGUAGAUAUCUGGAGGAACACCGGUGGCGAAGGCGGCGGU
RNAcentral lists this ribosomal RNA (207 nucleotides) under uncultured bacterium. RNAcentral's name for it is "partial 16S ribosomal RNA". It matches the Rfam family "Bacterial small subunit ribosomal RNA", at positions 524 to 728 of the family's 1533-position model. The record is from RNAcentral.